AAGCCAUGAUAAAGACACUAUCUCAAAUAACCCUUAAAUCCGUCCCAUGCUUCAUAUAUUGUCUCCCCAUCUUCCUGAGCAAAACCUCAGAUUCUAUUCAUCAUAU
Molecule: small nucleolar RNA, 106 nt
Organism: Zingiber officinale
Lineage: Eukaryota; Viridiplantae; Streptophyta; Magnoliopsida; Zingiberales; Zingiberaceae
Source: RefSeq, a predicted model, not a curated record